Molecule: transfer RNA, 297 nt
Filed under: Planktothrix pseudagardhii No1020
Lineage: Bacteria; Bacillati; Cyanobacteriota; Cyanophyceae; Oscillatoriales; Microcoleaceae
Description: partial 16S-23S ribosomal RNA intergenic spacer
Source: RNAcentral
GGGUUUUUCUCCCGGUUUUGGUUUCAUUUUUGAUCCCUUCUGAUUCUUCUAUGCAGUUUUCAAGGUUCUGGCUGGUUACAUUCCCAGCAUUUACUCUUUCUUUUCAAGAUGUAGUGCUGGCUUGUUUUUUGUUUGAGUGGAGGUAAGCGGACUCGAACCGCUGACAUCUGCCUUGCAAAGGCAGCGCUCUACCAACUGAGCUAUACCCCCACACGAGUUUUAGGUGGGCUAUCCUGGACUUGAACCAGGGACCUCACCCUUAUCAGGGGUGCGCUCUAACCACCUGAGCUAAUAGCC